RNAcentral lists this ribosomal RNA (435 nucleotides) under uncultured Oscillospiraceae bacterium. RNAcentral describes it as "bacterial SSU rRNA". It matches the Rfam family "Bacterial small subunit ribosomal RNA", at positions 341 to 792 of the family's 1533-position model. Lineage: Bacteria; Bacillati; Bacillota; Clostridia; Eubacteriales; Oscillospiraceae. The record is from RNAcentral.
ACGGAAGGCAGCAGUGGGGAAUAUUGGGCAAUGGGCGCAAGCCUGACCCAGCAACGCCGCGUGAAGGAUGAAGGUCUUCGGAUUGUAAACUUCUUUGAUUGGGGAAGAAUAAAUGACCUACCCAAAGAACAAGUCACGGCUAACUACGUGCCAGCAGCCGCGGUAAUACGUAGGUGACAAGCGUUAUCCGGAUUUACUGGGUGUAAAGGGCGUGUAGGCGGUUCUGUAAGUCAGAAGUGAAAUUCCCGGGCUCAACCUGGGCGCUGCUUCUGAAACUACAGAACUUGAGUACUGGAGGGGAAAGCGGAAUUCCUAGUGUAGCGGUGAAAUGCGUAGAUAUUAGGAGGAACACCAGUGGCGAAGGCGGCUUGCUGGACGAUAACUGACGUUGAGGCUCGAAAGCGUGGGGAGCAAACAGGAUUAGAUACCCUGGUA